RNAcentral lists this ribosomal RNA (261 nucleotides) under uncultured archaeon. RNAcentral's name for it is "partial 16S ribosomal RNA". It matches the Rfam family "Archaeal small subunit ribosomal RNA", at positions 748 to 1008 of the family's 1478-position model. The record is from RNAcentral.
UAGCCGUAAACGAUACUCGCUAGGUGUCGGCCACGGUGCGACCGUUGUCGGUGCCGUAGGGAAGCCGUGAAGCGAGCCACCUGGGAAGUACGGCCGCAAGGCUGAAACUUAAAGGAAUUGGCGGGGGAGCACCACAACGGGUGGAGCUUGCGGUUUAAUUGGAUUCAACGCCGGAAAUCUUACCGGGACCGACAGCAACAUGAAGGCCAAGCUGAAGACUUUGCCGGAUUAGCUGAGAGGUGGUGCAUGGCGUCAGUGACU